Molecule: non-coding RNA, 78 nt
Organism: Sphagnurus paluster
Lineage: Eukaryota; Fungi; Basidiomycota; Agaricomycetes; Agaricales; Lyophyllaceae
Source: the annotation of a GenBank genome assembly
GGCGCUAUAGUGUAGUGGCUAUCACUCGAGAUUCUGAAGAGAGUUCUCGAAACCCAGGUUCGAUCCCUGGUAGUGCCU